Molecule: ribosomal RNA, 253 nt
Filed under: uncultured bacterium
Lineage: Bacteria
Description: partial 16S ribosomal RNA
Rfam family: Bacterial small subunit ribosomal RNA
Source: RNAcentral
UACGUAGGUGGCAAGCGUUGUCCGGAUUUACUGGGUGUAAAGGGCGUGCAGCCGGGCUGACAAGUCAGAUGUGAAAUCCCGCGGCUUAACCGCGGAACUGCAUUUGAAACUGUUGGUCUUGAGUAUCGGAGAGGCAGGCGGAAUUCCUAGUGUAGCGGUGAAAUGCGUAGAUAUUAGGAGGAACACCGGCGGCGAAGGCGGCCUGCUGGACCGAAACUGACGUUGAGGCUCGAAAGCGUGGGGAGCAAACAGG